RNAcentral lists this ribosomal RNA (342 nucleotides) under Triticum aestivum (bread wheat). Its description in RNAcentral is "partial small subunit ribosomal RNA". Lineage: Eukaryota; Viridiplantae; Streptophyta; Magnoliopsida; Poales; Poaceae. The record is from RNAcentral.
CUUGAUUUUCCGGCGUUUGACGGGGGAAAUCCGCAAUUCUGGAGAACCAGAUGCGAGAAAUACUUUGAUGUGUAUGGUGUGCAGCCAGAUCUGUGGGUUCGCGUCGCUACCUUACACUUCACGGGUAGUGCGGCGCGCUGGCUGCAACUUCAGGAGUCUAGGAGUGGAUCGAUGCACUGGGACGAACUCUGUACAACCUUAGGCAUGAAAUUUGGGAGAGAGCAGUAUCAGGUGCACCUUCGGCAGUUCCGCCUGCUGAAACAAACUGGCACAGUGCACGAGUACAUGUUGCAAUUUGAGGAAAUCAUGCAUCACUUGUUAGCGCAUAACCUUGCUUUUGAU